CCUACGGGCGGCUGCAGUGAGGAAUAUUGGUCAAUGGACGGAAGUCUGAACCAGCCAUGCCGCGUGCAGGAAGACGGGUUUCGGCUCGUAAACUUCUAUCAACAGGGACGAAAGAAAUGACGGUACCUGAAUAAGAAGCCCCGGCUAACUACGUGCCAGCAGCCGCGGUAAUACGUAGGGGGCAAGCGUUAUCCGGAAUUACUGGGUGUAAAGGGUGAGUAGGCGGCAUGGCAAGCCAGAUGUGAAAGCCUUGGGCUUAACCCGAGGAUUGCAUUUGGAACUAUCAAGCUAGAGUACAGGAGAGGAAAGCGGAAUUCCUAGUGUAGCGGUGAAAUGCGUAGAUAUUAGGAAGAACACCAGUGGCGAAGGCGGCUUUCUGGACUGAAACUGACGCUGAUGCACGAAAGCGUGGGGAUCAAACAGGAUUAGAUACCCUAGUAGUC
This 443-nucleotide ribosomal RNA is filed under the name uncultured bacterium. RNAcentral describes it as "partial 16S ribosomal RNA". It matches the Rfam family "Bacterial small subunit ribosomal RNA", at positions 338 to 795 of the family's 1533-position model. The record is from RNAcentral.